This is a long non-coding RNA of Anas platyrhynchos (mallard), 5934 nucleotides long. RefSeq lists it as uncharacterized. The record is from RefSeq and is a predicted model, not a curated record. Lineage: Eukaryota; Metazoa; Chordata; Aves; Anseriformes; Anatidae.
AGUACCAGGCCGGGGGCUGGAGCAGCUGGUUUAGGGAGUGGUGUCCUCUCCCCUUUCCGAUCUCGUGGUGCUUUGGAUGGGCCACCCCAUGGCUGGGUCGCUUUCCUGGCGCAUUGAGCCCAGUGGUAAGGGCAAGCAGAUGUCCCAGCUCUCAGCUGAUCCUUGGCUUUUCCCCAUCCCUGUUCCCUUGGCACAUUUCCCGUUCCUGACGCAGUGAUUGAUGGAGGGAGCAUCACCUAUCCUCAGCUCCUCUGCUUCUGCUUCCUACCUACCCCUUGCUAGGAGGAUCUCAAAAGAAGACUUUUUUUUUUUUUUUAUCUCUGCCCUUCCACCUCUUUUCUGUUUUCGUCCCUCCUUAUCUACCAGUGACUCAGGCGUGUGUCUGAUUAUCUUUUGUUCUGUCCUUUUCCCCUCACCCCUUCUGUUUCUGCAAGGCUGAGUCAUCCCCCGCCCGUUGGCAGCACCUCAAUUUCAGGUUCUUGGCCCAAAAUCCUGACCACUGGCUUCUUUCCCCAGCCCGUUUCCUUUGCUGGAGCGAGGGAGGUUAUCCUUAGCGGCUGUGUCACAGAUGGGCGCAGCUCCCUGUGCUUGGGGGAUCUUGGGGGUUCUGCUUCCUGGUGUUUUCUGGUCUUCUGGUGGAAAAACUUGCUAUUUGCUUUUCAGUGAGAGUUAAAGAUGAACCAUUGGGGCCUUAAAUAGGUACUCAUAAAAGUCAAUGAUAAAUGAAUGGUGGCACGAAUGUGAAUAUUGAGUGGUCAUGGGCUCCCCAGGAGGUUCUACCUUCACACAGCCACCGUGGCAGAAUCGACCCCCUUAUCCUGAAGAUAGGACUAAGGAAUAACUAAACAUCCCUUCCUGGUUAACCUUUAGAAGAGCACUUUUAACAAGGGGACCCAAGCGAAGAGCAGAUUGGAAAGAAAAGAUUUGAGGGUUUUAAGAGAGAUCAGUGCUUGAUGACAGUCAUCCUUGGGUGCUUAAGUACAAAGCAGAGAAGGCUUUGAGCAGGGCGUCUUGUUAUGUACUCUGCUCUCCUUCCUGCUGAUUAACAGACCUACACUUUGUUUGCUUUCAUUAAUGCAUUUACAGAACCAAUAAGGCCGUGAUGGAAUUAGCUUUGUGCCUUCUCUCGUGUUUGUGCUUUUUAUCAGUUUCCUUUUAACUCUUUUUGAAUUCCCAUGGUGCCAUUUCUUGCGCUUUUUUUUCCCCUUUGCAAUAAGUUCCAACAUCUUUUUUCCAGUAGGGCCUGCACUUCUUUGUCCCUAAAAUCAGUGGUGCCAAAAGCGUGGACCCUGGGCUAUGGUUAGUGAUCUGCAGCAGGGUUGCAGAGCCUAUUAAAUAUUUUUAUUUGUGCAUGCUUCAGGGAAUACCAAGGUUCAGCGCUUCAGCUGUGGUUCAUUGGCCAAAACGGGCUGGUUGCUACUAACUUGUAGUCUGUUUUUCUUUUUUUUUUUUUUUUUUUUAUUCCCCUCCCAGGAUCUUAAUUUACAAGUUCCCUUGGGUUGGUUGAAUUUCUCAUUGUUUCUUUCCUUGUCUCGGAGCAGUGAAUGCUGUCAUCCUGGAGCAGGGGCUGAGUUUUUACAGCUCGGGGAGCAAUCCAGUGCAGAAGCAAACCAGCUGCUUUGGGCAGAACCAGCUGUGGCUCCUGACCCGGUGGUUCAGAAGCCUCCUGCAACGCCUGCACUACAUCUGCUCCCUUUGGGCAGGGCUCUGUGUUUGCUCACCCAGGAUGAGUCAGGUUAAAGAAACCACACAGAUAAGAUAAGGUGAUACGUGGUGAGCAAUGAGGCUGUGUGAGACCAUUCAGAUGUAACCCCACCUUCACAGAUCUUGUCAUCCUUUUAGGGGGACGGUGUAAUCUAUGGGUCAUCCUCUGCUUCCCAGGACACGUCUCUUCUUCCCUCUGUCAUCCUCUAACAGCUGAAUUCAGCUAGUGCAUCAAAUUCACAACGUGUUUGCUAAGUUCGCUCCCCGCCUUGGGAAACGAGGUGAUGUAACUGCAGAAGCAGCGCUUGGUUAAUGAACUGGCCCAGUAUCUGAUCAGCCCCUCCAGUCUGGAGGCGAAUUUCCCAUUUCUCAGGGCUCCCGGUGGGGUUUUGCACAACCCACCCAGCGGUCACACUGGUGCCUGCUUGUCCAGGUGGCCUCGUGGCUUGCUCCUGCCAUCAGAUGUCCUCAGCUGAACUUUUUGCUGCAAAGGCAAAACAAGUACAAACCAAUUAAUGCUUUGUCUUGCUUUAAGGGCAGCUUGGACGUCGCCUAAAUUGCGUUGUGUUUAGCUGGAUCUGCCCUGCUCAUUAGUUUUUCUUUGGUGGUGCUCCGCUGUGCCAGGCACAUAAGUUUUUCUUCUCCAUGGUGGUGUAGAAAUCCCUCUUCUUUUUUUUUUUUUUUGUGUGUGUGUUGAAGUGUCUAGCUCUUAAGAUUUCAUUUACUUGAAAUGAGAGGCAACACAGUAAAACAGAAUUGACCUUUUAUUUUUUUAAACAGCUGUCCACGCAGCCAAGGUACACUGCAGAGCUGAAGCAGCACGGCUUGGCUUUCUGCUUCUCGAGCAGUUCUUGUACCCAAACCAUGCUUUGCAGGCUGCGUCCUUAAGCAACAUUUCAGACAAGGGUCGACAUAGCCCAAAAUGAGCUUAAGACCAUAGCAGAAAGGAAAUCCCUGUGACCUCCCAACCCGUACAGGAGCGGGGUUGUGGGGCAUUUAUUGCCUACGUAAGAGUUGCGCAGUCUCCCCCCCUGCUUCCUCCUAGUUUUCCAGCUCCUCCCUCGUAAUCCUUUCAGUAAACAGCUUUAACCUUUGAAAGGGAAGACGUACUAGGACAUGGGUGCCCCAGCCCUGGUGCGGAGGAGCUGUGCUUGGGGAGGUGCGCUGCGGUGGUGCUGGAGGGAUCAUGGUGGCCAACCUUGAGGAUUUUGCCCUUUUUUGGGAGGAUUUUAGGAUUGAUCCCUCUCAGCUGGGUGUAGCAUGGUCAGGGUGGCAAUAGCAGUGCUUGGUGCUGGAGCAGAGCAUCUCGCUUGGGCUGGGCUUCUUCCUGAGAAAGGAAGAUUUGGGGGUGGGAGUGUGAUUUUUAUUUUCAAUUUUUUUUUUUCAAGGGUCUUUUUGUAAUAAUACUGUAAUUAACUCAUCUGCACGCAGGAUCUGCAGCGUUAAAUUAUUUCUGCCCACGUUGUUGCUGCUUUGACAGACCUCAGUGGAAGCAGUGGCUUAAAUCCUGUUCCUGAUGGCACUCGAUACCGAAUUGCUGAAAUACCUGCAAUGUGCUUGCUGUCCUCGACAGCAGUUGUUAUUGGGGGCAUUUUGCUUGUCCUCAUCUUCCCAUGAGCAGGUGUCUGCUCCCCGUGCUCCCCCUGGUCAUAAUAUGUGCCUUAAAUAACUGCCAACACCUAAAAUUAGAGGCGACUUGGGAGGCUGGUGUUAAAACAAGACCUGUGCCCUCAGCAUGGACAUGUUCCAGGUCAGGCAACAAAUGCCAGAGCUUCUCACUGGGUUAAAUGGCUCAGAGGUCUGGGAAGAGCUUGCAGUGCCUGCUGGCCUGAGCUAGCACCGCCAGCAUGUCCUUAUGUCUGUCCCCACCUGGGGGCUUUUUUGGCUCCCCCCAGAACCCCAAGUUCUCACUUCAUGGGAUCUAAAUGAGUAGCAGUGCUGAUGGUGCAGUUGGAUCUCUGGCUGCUUCACCUGGCUCAUUCCUCCUGCCCUGCAGGUGGGAAUGGGAAGGGGAAGGGCAUUUUGCCCACCAUUUCCAAAGAAAGUGGUGGUUAAUUAUUAGUGUGGGUACAGGGAAAUGCUUUUAACCUGGUGCAGCUUUCUUUUGGAAAACUGAGAGCAGCCCUGCCUACUGGAGAUGUUUUCUUCCAGACAUUCCCUUUAUUUUAGCACAUCCCCUUCCCUUUUUUCAGCUGCUUCCAAAGGCAAGGAACUGAGUGAGUGGAGCCCUUUUAGUACACACAGAAAAUUGAAUUUUUAGUAAAAAUAAGAGAAUUGAAGCCUGACUCCUGCAAUCUUUGGGGUUUCCAAGAAUUACACCAGUCUGCACUGAACAUGAGGGUGGGUUUGAAAUAAUCUUUCAGAAAUUCACGGUAGUGUUGCCUUUGACUUCCACCUCUUGAGUAGCAGCGAGUGAAAGGCAGGGACUGAAAUGAGCUGCAUCAAAAGUGGCCUUUUGGGGUAAAAGCUCCUGUGUAUAGAAGAAGUUGCCUGAAAUGCCAUGCUGUGAGGCAAGGGGAGGAUUUGGUGAUUUUUGGAGCUGAAAGACAGGAGCAGGCCUUGGCAGUGCUGACCUGGCAGGAGAUGCCACUUGCCUUUUUUUUUUCCCUUUCUUCUUCAAGUCUGGUAAUUGCACAUUAUUGCAGCGGGUGGCGAGACCAAAGCCAGGAAGCCUCUGGUUAAGUAAUCAAGGGAAAUAAGCCGUGCUGCAGAGCUGUGUGCAGGCUGGGGCUGCAGGUAGAAGAGCCCUAACUGGAAGCAGCUCUGGGUCGAGGCCCUGUCUGAAAGCAGAGGGGGGAGCCAAGAGGUGAUGCUGGGGAGGCGAGAAGCAUUAGGAUUUGGGGUCUUGGCUGUUGGGAUAUUCUGUCUCCAGCAGACUGGGGACCCCAUUACUUCUCCUUUUGAACAUCUGCAGAGCCUGGGGAACAGUGUAAGAAUUCAAUCAGCCUCACGCUGUGGUGACCUCAAGGACCGCAGCAAGGGACAGGAUGGCCAGCAGCAUCUCCCAGGGGCAGAUGCACAUGUUGCUGCCAAUAAUUUAUUGACUGAGGAGCAGUGCUGUGCCUGGGUGCAAACCCUAACGUGCCCCUGGCAGAGCUGAGGGAUUAAUGUCUGUCUGCCUGCCAAAACAAAGAGGCCAGAGGGGUUUUUUUUGUUGUUUUUCUUAAAGCUGUUUUUCCUCUGGUAUCUGCAGAUGUCUGUUUGGCCCUCAAAUAUCAUCCAGUCCUCCUCCUCAAAAUGAGACCCAGAGAAAGGGAGCUUGAAAAAUGGAAAACCCUGCACCUGCUUCUGUGUGGGGAGAGCUGUGAUUUCUCACCUCGGUGAGGCCCUAGCACAUAACUCCUCAAGUAAUGAGGCAGACUUUACCCGCUUGCCAGGGCUUCAUCUGAGUGGGGAAAAAAAUAAAAAUAAAAAAUCCAGCAGGUGAAUUUAAUCCUCAGGCUGGCAUCUGUGUGUCUGGAUAUCGAUGACUCUGGCUGCGGCAGUGUGCUUGCUCAGGGUAACCUGCCUGCCCGAGGGGGUUAUAAUGAAAAUUAACUCUGCAAAAGCUGUUUAAAAUGUAAUAAUUACAUGGAGUGCUUACACUGACCGUUCCCUUUUUAACCAAAGGAAGAGCAGCGCUGCCUGGCCGGGUUUCUCUGCAGCAUCCCAAGCAGAUGGAGGUCAAGAGGGGGCAUUCAGGGAGACCUUGCUGUGGAGGUGGGCAGGUUGUGUAGGUCCCAAGGGGUCAGGACUAAGGCUGGUGCUGGUUCCAGAGGUGUGAUGGAGAGCUGUAAUGCUCCUGUCCAGCACUGACCCUCAGGUCCCCGGGUCUGAACACAUCCAUAAACUCCCAGUGAUGAUCACAAGCCUUCCUCGACCGUCUUGGUGGAGUUAGUUUCCAGAAAGGGUGUGGGAAGUGUUUGUCGGGAGUCCGUUUCCUGCCCUGCAAGAUUUUUGGUUUGGAAAAAAAAUAAAAAGAAGAACAAAAAAUAGUGGUUUGUUGCCCAAAUGGUGCUCGCUGAGGAUGUGAAUCACUGGCUCCUGGGAGGAUCUGAUACCAGCACUGACCAUGGGAAAAACCAUCACAUUGCUCAGAAGUCCUCAUAAAAAUGUCCUUCCCGCCUGUCUUGAUCAUAUGCACGUUUUCCAAAACUUAUUUAGAGUUGGGAUUUGUGGUGAAAGGAUUCAUCCUCCAGUAACCCCCUAUUUUGGGGAGGGUGGUGAAAUCUCCUCGUUUUGGGAAGGUCU